UUGGCGGCGUGGUUAAGACAUGCAAGUCGAACGAGAGAAUUGCUAGCUUGCUAAUAAUUCUCUAGUGGCGCACGGGUGAGUAACACGUGAGUAACCUGCCCCCGAGAGCGGGAUAGCCCUGGGAAACUGGGAUUAAUACCGCAUAGUAUCGAAAGAUUAAAGCAGCAAUGCGCUUGGGGAUGGGCUCGCGGCCUAUUAGUUAGUUGGUGAGGUAACGGCUCACCAAGGCGAUGACGGGUAGCCGGUCUGAGAGGAUGUCCGGCCACACUGGAACUGAGACACGGUCCAGACACCUACGGGUGGCAGCAGUCGAGAAUCAUUCACAAUGGGGGAAACCCUGAUGGUGCGACGCCGCGUGGGGGAAUGAAGGUCUUCGGAUUGUAAACCCCUGUCAUGUGGGAGCAAAUUAAAAAGAUAGUACCACAAGAGGAAGAGACGGCUAACUCUGUGCCAGCAGCCGCGGUAAUACAGAGGUCUCAAGCGUUGUUCGGAAUCACUGGGCGUAAAGCGUGCGUAGGCUGUUUCGUAAGUCGUGUGUGAAAGGCGCGGGCUCAACCCGCGGACGGCACAUGAUACUGCGAGACUAGAGUAAUGGAGGGGGAACCGGAAUUCACGGUGUAGCAAAUCACUAGUGAAUUC
Molecule: ribosomal RNA, 639 nt
Filed under: uncultured Akkermansia sp.
Lineage: Bacteria; Pseudomonadati; Verrucomicrobiota; Verrucomicrobiia; Verrucomicrobiales; Akkermansiaceae
Description: bacterial SSU rRNA
Rfam family: Bacterial small subunit ribosomal RNA
Source: RNAcentral